CGCAAGCCUGAUCCAGCCAUGCCGCGUGUGUGAAGAAGGCCUUCGGGUUGUAAAGCACUUUUGUUGGGGAAGAAAGCUGCCGGGCGAAUACCCUGGCGGGAUGACGGUACCCAAAGAAUAAGCACCGGCUAACUUCGUGCCAGCAGCCGCGGUAAUACGAAGGGUGCAAGCGUUACUCGGAAUUACUGGGCGUAAAGCGUGCGUAGGCGGUUGAUUAAGUCUGCUGUGAAAGCCCCGGGCUCAACCUGGGAAUGGCAGUGGAAACUGGUCAGCUGGAGUGCGGUAGAGGAGGGUGGAAUUUCCGGUGUAGCGGUGAAAUGCGUAGAGAUCGGAAGGAACAUCCGUGGCGAAGGCGACCCUCUGGACCAGCACUGACGCUGAGGCACGAAAGCGUGGGGAGCAAACAGGAUUAGAUACCCUGGUAGUCCACGCCCUAAACGAUGCGAACUGGACGUUGGGCACACUUAGGUGCUCAGUGUCGAAGCUAACGCGUUAAGUUCGCCGCCUGGGGAGUACGGUCGCAAGACUG
This 529-nucleotide ribosomal RNA is filed under the name uncultured bacterium. Its description in RNAcentral is "bacterial SSU rRNA". It matches the Rfam family "Bacterial small subunit ribosomal RNA", at positions 376 to 896 of the family's 1533-position model. The record is from RNAcentral.